UCUAGUGAUGACUCGAUGUCGCCCCAAACGGACUAUAUAAUGACCGAUUCGAUUUCUAAAUAACCAAACUCACACUGAAAAUUCUGAUA
This 89-nucleotide small nucleolar RNA is filed under the name Pachysolen tannophilus NRRL Y-2460. Lineage: Eukaryota; Fungi; Ascomycota; Pichiomycetes; Alaninales; Pachysolenaceae. The record is from RNAcentral.